Molecule: long non-coding RNA, 5150 nt
Organism: Bacillus rossius redtenbacheri
Lineage: Eukaryota; Metazoa; Arthropoda; Insecta; Phasmatodea; Bacillidae
Exons: 3
Source: RefSeq, a predicted model, not a curated record
GUGUACGCGCGCAGCGGGCGGUUCCAAGUGUAGCCGGCGCGGAGGGGUGUAGGGUCGGCUCGAUACCCGGGGGCUGGUGAGCGGCAGCUGCUGCGCGCAUGCGCGGUGGCAGGGCGACCCCAGCCUGCGCGGCGUCCCUGCGGCCGGGGAGGGGGAGGUGUGCCGUAGUCACGGCACCCCCCCUUGUGCCGUAGUUCCGGUACCGCGGCGCCGGCGCAGCUGUGGCACGCGAAACUCAACAAUCGUCUCGGCCAGACGUGCGUGUCUGUGCUUGUAGCGUGGUAUCUCCGCUUCUCGUCCCGCGCAGGUCAACAACACAACAUUAGAUGGCCGGGGAAUGAAGAUAAAGAUGGUGUUAAGAAGCCCGCCGCCCAGGGAUGAAGGCGAACCAUGCAGACCAGCCUGUCUCAGGAUCACUCUCGCAAUACUACUGGAUCGGCCUGGUGGUCCUAGUCACGUGCCUUGGUCUUCUGGCGGCCCUGGCUUGCUGGCUGAGACGUUGCAGGUAACGGCAACACGCUGCAACAUGCUGCAACACACUGCAACACACUGCAACACACUUGCGACGCACCUUAGGGGCGGAUCAUGCCCCGUCAUCUGGAAACACUUGGUCUACUGUAGCGAAAGAUGUGUCAUUUUUAUUUUCACGGCUUUAAAAAAAAAAACACGUGACUCUCGCACCACACGUAGCCUUGUGCAAAUAUUGCGUCAUUCGGGGCCCGUUCCACAAAAAUACAAGGUUGUAAGUAACAAGUAAAAUUUUUUGCAAGUUUGUGAAAACAUCCGAAUACAAAUGUUCCAAACACAAAAAAAAAAUCUCUUAUAAAUAGAGACCGGAAAAAUUCGCGAAUUCAUUUCACGAUAGGCUAAAAUACAAAUAGUCAUACCUUAGUGCUGCCUCUGCUAUUGGCUCACAACUCACCUGGAUGACGCUGGGCCAAUGAGAAACGCCCAACCAAAGCUUUAUCGAAUCACAGGCUGGUACGCUGGGACGUCUCACAAGACAACAGCCAAUGAGUGGGUGACAUUUGACCGAGUGUACAUAGAACUAUGGAGUUCAUCCUACAGGUCAUUGAACCCACGAAUUUUUCCGGUCCCUACUUAUAAACGAUUAGUGACUAGUGAAUUCCCACAAGUUUACAAGUGAUUUACUUAAAUCUCCUAUAAAAACCUGGUUAUCUGACACUUGUUUACUACGACUUUGGGUAUCUAGCUCACAUCCUAGAUAGUUUAUGUUUACAAGGUUAGAAAGAAGGGGUCUACUGAAAUUUAAAAAAAAAACAGAUUUGAACUUAAAUCAUAAACCAACUUACGCUGCAACUAAACAAUAAUAACCCUUAACGGUACAUUGACUGAGAGUAUGUUGACAAAUCUUGUCAGUUAAAAGUGUGGUUAUGCGGCCACGUAUUGUAAUGUAGUUCGAAGUGUGAUUGUAUCGCUAAAUCUUGUUACAAAUUAAUGUUUGGCUUCUGGGUCUAGACCACGUCCUUGUAAACGAUGAACUGCCCAAAGUGUGGGCGUGCCUUUUUGCAGAAACUAUCAAGGGUGACUAACAACUGAGUGCUAGUGUCGUGGAACAGUCUUUAUAUAGGGACGAUCGCAGCUCAGCUGUUAUUGGUCCCUGAGGACGGCCCUGAUUGGCGGACCGUCGGCUCUGAUGGUCUAGCCAAUCGUGCGUAUGGUCUGGCCAAUUAGGAAGCAUCUGCUUUGUGGUUGCCACGAGCUAGACCUUUUCUAAUUCCUUUACGAUGAUUUUUCGCGUUUUUUUUUGCAAAACAAAGAAUUACAGAUGUUACUUCAUUUGUAGCUUUGUUCUCUGUUGAUUUUUUUCAGGGUGAUUUCUGAUUUCUGUGGCUUCUCUGAUUAAUCGGUGGUUGUAAUUGGCAAUACUGAUAAUAUGUUUGGCUUGGUCGAAGUGGAUUGUGUGUCCUGUUUCCUCGGAGUGUUGAGCUAGGUUUGAACGGUUGCUGUUGUAUUUGAUGAUUGUUAAACGUUCUUCUAGGCGAGUAGAGAUCCUUCUGCCAGUUUGUCCUAUAAUUGUCUUAUUGCAGGAGCAGAGAACGUUAUAAACUCCAAUGAGACAUUUCUCCUGAACGCAAUUCCUGGCUCUGUGAAAGACAAUAAACUGCCUAUUAACUCCCCAAGAGUUUAUAAAGUUCCCUGAUACUUCAACAAGACCUGUGUAGUACAAAUGAUCUAUACUUGCCUAAAGGAACAUUUAGCAGACACAAAAAACAACAGAAACAGUUCUGCCCUAGCUAAUCACUACAGUGAAAGAGGAUACAAUUUGCUUCGUCCAAGCAUAUGCAAUGCCAAAUAUUGCCAAUCCUAACCACAGAUCAAAUAUAGAAGCCUCAGAAAUCAGAAGACACCCUUAUAACAUCAACAGAGAAGAUGGCCUCAAAUUAAUAUCUGGAAUUCCUUGUUCUAAAAAAUCGGGAACAAUCAUUAUAAAGGAAUUAGCAAAAGUCUAGCAUGUGACAACUACAAAGGAGAUGCUUCCUGAUUGGUCAGACCAUCAGUGCCGACCCACCACCAAUCAGGGCCAACCUCAGGGACCAAUCACAGCUGAGCUGCGAUCGGGACCUUUAUAGAUACUGCUUCAGAAUACCAGGUGUCAAUUGUUAAUCGCCCUUGAAGAUGGUUUCAACAAGGCACGCCGAAACGUCGGGCACAUCAUCAUAUACAAGGACGUGACCCCAAUCUAGAAGCCAGUGACUGUAGCCAGAAAGCCUACGAUAUAGGAAAGUUUGUUAGUUCCAAGUAUACCAAUUAAACAUUGCCGCACACAAUUAUUAACACUUUUACUUGCAAGAGACAAUUUUUGAAAAUAUAUGCUAAACAUUUAGAGAUCAUUUAACGUAAGUACGAGUUUUUAACUAACGGGUAAAAUUGUACAAGUUAGUUAAAUUAUACAAUUAGAAUUGUUUGACAAAAGCACCCCUUUAAACUUGUAAUGUCAUGUGAAUUUUCACAAUUUUACAAGUUAUUUUACUUGUAGGCUUAUAAAUAACAAAAUUGUAGCUGAUACUUGUUGUCUACUACUAAUUUCGUACCUACCUCAAAAUUUAGGGAGGUUAUAAUCACAAAAUUUUACUAAUAAUAAUAAUCCUAGAAAGAUGUUGUCUAGUUUUUCCCCUACUGAGAUAAAUUAUAUGAUAUAGAUGAACUUAUAUAAUUAAAAAUGUGUGCUUCAAACUAAAAAAAAUAAUAACUGUAAACAGUGAAUUAAUUAAAUGAGUUUAUGUGGCAAAAUAUUGUUAGUUACAAGUGUGGCUAUGUCACCAAAUCCUGAUAGUUACAAGUGUACAUACUUCUACACUUGUGACACACAACCAAAACUUUUACUUGUUAGUGACAUGUUUAUACAAUCUAAAAGAAAACCUGUUCUUAAAAACUUGUAAUUAUAGGUGUUUAUUUCUUACAACUGUUACCUUCAAGACUUGUAAAUUUGUGAAAUGUACAAAUAUUGAAUACAAUAUACAAUAUACAACAUUUAUUAUAAUUGGUACUUUCAAGACCUAUACAUUUGUGAAAUGUGUCCAUGUUCGUACAACUAAGUGAAUACACGAGCUUAUUUUUUUUUUACAAUUGUUAACAAAAAGACUUGUAUCUUUGUGAAACGGUUCUCGGAGUCACACACGUGAGAUAAUCAGUGGCUUCCUCCCAAAGGUUACAUAUUUAUCCUGUUUAUUGAUACCAACAAUAAUGAAAACAUACUUUUAAAAAAUUUAUCUACGCCUUUUCGCACCAAAAAAAAAUGAUAUAUAUUUUGAGAAAGGAACUAAAGAAAAAAUUACCGAAUAAAAGAUGGUGGUGUAUUAUCCCUCUUAAAUAAACUAUACUAAUGAAAUAUGUCACGAAUUAUGUCACAAUGUUGCUUGUUACAAAACGCUAACAAAAUAAUUACAUAGUUAUUCCAGUUAAAAGAGAACCUAAGAAAUCACGCCUAAGCUAAUGUCCUUACAUACCCAAUCUCUACCAAAACAAAAGCAAUGAAUAAUUUAAUCAGUUUAAUUUAUGCUUAAACAUUGAUUAAUAAUUAAAAAUUAAUCUGAACUCUUCAAACGAAAUUAAAUAAGAAGUGUAAAUUGAAUGAGUAGACUACCAUACGUAAAUGCAACCAACACCAAUAUUUUUUUUUAUUCUAUUGUAUAUUAUACAGCCCUGUAUGAGCGUUAGGACACUAUAAAAUAUGUAUGAAAUUUUGGAUGGAUAAUUUCAGUAGCAGCCUACGACUGAAUUUACAUUAGGUAAAUUGAAAUACACAACUGGUAACAAUCUGCCUCUAUUUCUCAACUUUUGUAAUUAUUUGUAAAUUUUACCUUUAGUUUGAAAUCAAAACUAAGUGAGUAACAAUCUGAAUCAUAUCUGAAUAUAUGUCGCUGAAACAUAACGAGUGUGUGAUAAAAAAUUAUUGUUGUUGUUAACUGGUCCGCGCAUAAUAAAUAGCCAAUUUACGUGAUGAUAAGGUCAUUAGCACAGUGGAAAUAAAAGAGCACACUGAAUUAGUAUUCAAUAAAAUAUAUCUUUUUUCGGGCUUGAUCCAGGCCAACUAUUUAAACUAUCGUGGUUGGUGUUCACUAAAAUUUCCCCGCUUCCACAUAUGCGUAAUUGUUUAUUGGAUGAUAAUGACAUUCUGUUGCCUAUUGCCUUUAACCGGCAGAAAAGGCGAUAUGGGGAUAGUUUUAGCACAAUUAAACCAUCAAAAGAAGUGCACGCCACUCAAUAAUUAUUUAUAAAUAAAGUUAGAAUUAAUAAUAUUUGGCAGCCCAGUCGCCACAAAAAAAAUAUUAUAAACCCUGCUCUAUACUCGUUUUAAGAAAAACUGAGUUGAUGUAAUGCAGGAGAUAAAAUGGAAUGUGUUCCUACUACUAUACAUAUAAAUUGUAAAAUCUGUGCUUGUUACAUAAUCACUCAUAACGUACCGUGUGGAUGUGCAUUAAAGUUUGAUACAGCUAAUAUAUAAUUUAUCCAUAUUUAAUUUACUUUUCAUCCCUGAAGCUAAGAUAACUCUUUAACGGCUUUUGGUGUUUUGAAAUUUUUCUACAAUUUCUCGUUUUAAUUAAAGGUUCUUAAUAUCGUUUAAUGAACACUAGUUCAUAAUAUAAAACUUAAAUUACAAAUUUCGGAAUAACACAUAAGUAUAU